Molecule: long non-coding RNA, 380 nt
Organism: Arabidopsis thaliana (thale cress)
Lineage: Eukaryota; Viridiplantae; Streptophyta; Magnoliopsida; Brassicales; Brassicaceae
Product: other RNA
Exons: 1
Source: RefSeq
AGUCACCAAGCUACGCAUUUGCGCAGAUUACUCUACGGAGGCGCGUGGGAAGAAAGAAGAGCUCUCGAGCGCGUGAAAUAUAGAUCUCGUGAUGUUUAAAGAUGUAGAAACAAACUCAACAAGUUAUUCGAUUGGAGUUUGACUUUGGCUCUAAAAGAGAUCUGUAUGACUCUUUGUCCGUAAGUGAGUCCCACCACCACACAAGCUUAAUCAGUUUGCUUACUAUUUUAGAUUUUGUACAAAUCUCUUCUACUUUUGUGGUCCUCUCCACUCCUGCUCUGCCACGUGCUUCACUCUGAUACAAAUUUAUUGUAUUUUAAAGUACAAAAUGUUUUGUUACUUGUCUUAUUUUUUUGGUUGCCUUGGCUCAUAACAAGUAA